CUACGGGAGGCAGCAGUGGGGAAUAUUGCGCAAUGGGCGAAAGCCUGACGCAGCAACGCCGUGUGGGGGAUGAAGGUCUUCGGAUUGUAAACCUCUGUCAGGAGGGAAGAAGUGGUAUUUGUCUAAUAGGCAGGUACUUUGACGGUACCUCCAGAGGAAGCACCGGCUAACUCCGUGCCAGCAGCCGCGGUAAUACGGGAGGGUGCAAGCGUUAUUCGGAAUAACUGGGCGUAAAGCGUGCGUAGGCUGUCUGGUAAGUCAGGUGUGAAAGCCCACGGCUCAACCGUGGAAUUGCAUUUGAACUGCUGGACUAGAAUCCGGGAGAGGGUAGCGGAAUUCCUGGUGUAGGAGUGAAGUCCGUAGAUAUCAGGAGGAACACCGGUGGCGAAGGCGGCUACCUGGUCCGGUAUUGACGCUGAGGUACGAAAGCGUGGGUAGCAAACAGGAUUAGAUACCCGAGUAGUC
This 465-nucleotide ribosomal RNA is filed under the name uncultured bacterium. Its description in RNAcentral is "partial 16S ribosomal RNA". It matches the Rfam family "Bacterial small subunit ribosomal RNA", at positions 339 to 795 of the family's 1533-position model. The record is from RNAcentral.